RNAcentral lists this ribosomal RNA (497 nucleotides) under uncultured bacterium. RNAcentral describes it as "partial 16S ribosomal RNA". It matches the Rfam family "Bacterial small subunit ribosomal RNA", at positions 28 to 507 of the family's 1533-position model. The record is from RNAcentral.
GAUGAACGCUGGCGGCGUGCCUAAUACAUGCAAGUCGAGCGAACGGACGAGAAGCUUGUUUCUCUGAUGUUAGCGGCGGACGGGUGAGUAACACGUGGAGAACCUACCUAUAAGACUGGGAUAACUUCGGGAAACCGUAGCUAAUACCGGAUAAUAUUUUGAACCGCAUGGUUCAAAAGUGAAAGACGGUCUUGCUGUCACUUAUAGAUGGAUCCGCUCUGCUUUAGCUAGUUGGUAAGGUAACGGCUUACAAGGGCAACGUAGCAUAGCCGACCUGAGAGGGUGAUCGGCCACACUGGAACUGAGCCACGGCCCAGACUCCUACGGGAGGCACCAGAAGGGAACCUUCCGCAAUGGGCGAAAGCCUGACGGAGCACCGCCGCGUGAGUGAUGAAGGUCUUCGGAUCGUAAACCUCUGUUAUUAGGGAAGAACAUAUGUGUAAGUAACUGCGCACCUCUUGACGGUACCUAAUCAGAAAGCCACGGCUAACUACGUG